Molecule: ribosomal RNA, 301 nt
Filed under: uncultured bacterium
Lineage: Bacteria
Description: partial 16S ribosomal RNA
Rfam family: Bacterial small subunit ribosomal RNA
Source: RNAcentral
CAGUCGCCGCGGUAAUACAGAUGGUGCGAGCGUUAAUCGGAUUUACUGGGCGUAAAGCGUGCGUAGGCGGCUUCUUAAGUCGGAUGUGAAAUCCCUGAGCUUAACUUAGGAAUUGCAUUCGAUACUGGGAAGCUAGAGUAUGGGAGAGGAUUGUAGAAUUCCAGGUGUAGCGGUGAAAUGCGUAGAGAUCUGGAGGAAUACCGAUGGCGAAGGCAGCCAUCUGGCCUAAUACUGACGCUGAGGUACGAAAGCAUGGGGAGCAAACAGGAUUAGAUACCCCAGUAGUCCCUGUCUCUUAUAC